AGUGAACGCUGGCGGUAGGCCUAACACAUGCAAGUCGAACGGCAGCACAGUAAGAGCUUGCUCUUACGGGUGGCGAGUGGCGGACGGGUGAGGAAUACAUCGGAAUCUACUUUUUCGUGGGGGAUAACGUAGGGAAACUUACGCUAAUACCGCAUACGACCUACGGGUGAAAGCAGGGGAUCUUCGGACCUUGCGCGAUUGAAUGAGCCGAUGUCGGAUUAGCUAGUUGGCGGGGUAAAGGCCCACCAAGGCGACGAUCCGUAGCUGGUCUGAGAGGAUGAUCAACCACACUGGAACUGAGACACGGUCCAGACUCCUACGGGAGGCAGCAGUGGGGAAUAUUGGACAAUGGGCGCAAGCCUAAUCCAACCAUACCGCGUAGGUGAAGAAGGCCUUCGGGUUGUAAAGCCCUUUUGUUGGGAAAGAAAAGCAGCAGGUUAAUACCCCGCUGUUCUGACGGAACCCAAAGAAUAAGCACCGGCUAACUUCGUG
RNAcentral lists this ribosomal RNA (492 nucleotides) under uncultured bacterium. RNAcentral's name for it is "partial 16S ribosomal RNA". It matches the Rfam family "Bacterial small subunit ribosomal RNA", at positions 29 to 507 of the family's 1533-position model. The record is from RNAcentral.